UGCUUCAGUUUGAAAUGGUCUGGUU
RNAcentral lists this non-coding RNA (25 nucleotides) under Rattus norvegicus (Norway rat). Lineage: Eukaryota; Metazoa; Chordata; Mammalia; Rodentia; Muridae. The record is from RNAcentral.